This 336-nucleotide ribosomal RNA is filed under the name Oecomys rutilus (red arboreal rice rat). RNAcentral's name for it is "partial 12S ribosomal RNA". The record is from RNAcentral. Lineage: Eukaryota; Metazoa; Chordata; Mammalia; Rodentia; Cricetidae.
AACCCAAAUUAAUUAAUACUCGGCGUAAAACGUGUACCAAAACAACUAAAAUAGAAUUAAAAAUCAACCAAUAUGUGAAAAUUGAUCGUUGUAAUUAAAACCACUAACGAAAGUAAUUCUAAUUUACCUAUUACACGAUAGCUAAGAUCCAAACUGGGAUUAGAUACCCCACUAUGCUUAGCCUUAAACCUCAAUAAUUGUCAAACAAAAUUAUUUGCCAGAGAACUACUAGCCACCGCUUAAAACUCAAAGGACUUGGCGGUACUUUAUAUCCACCUAGAGGAGCCUGUUCUAUAAUCGAUAAACCCCGCUACACCUCACCACCCCUUGCUAAUU